Molecule: ribosomal RNA, 320 nt
Filed under: Goddardobdella elegans
Lineage: Eukaryota; Metazoa; Annelida; Clitellata; Hirudinida; Hirudinidae
Description: partial small subunit ribosomal RNA
Source: RNAcentral
AGAGUACGAGCUAUAGCUUAAAAACUAAAGAAAAUGGCGGUAUCUAAAUCAAUCAGGGUGACUUGUAGCUUAAUUUGAUAGUCCACAGUUUCUGUACUUUAUUUUGAAAUAUUCAGUUUGUGUACUGCCGUUGUUAUAUAAUUAUUAAAUAACUAUAUAAUAUAUAUAUAUAUAUAUAUAUAUAUAUAUAUAUAUAUAUAUAUAUACAGGUCAAAGUGCAACUUAUAAUAAAGAGUUUAUGAGUUACAUUUAUUUAUUCAUUCUUUUUAAUUACUAAAAUUUUUAAUAAGAAGAACUUGAUAGUAAUUUUAAUGAUUAAU